This 472-nucleotide ribosomal RNA is filed under the name Microbacterium sp. RNAcentral's name for it is "bacterial SSU rRNA". It matches the Rfam family "Bacterial small subunit ribosomal RNA", at positions 764 to 1234 of the family's 1533-position model. The record is from RNAcentral. Lineage: Bacteria; Bacillati; Actinomycetota; Actinomycetes; Micrococcales; Microbacteriaceae.
GGGAGCAUACAGGCUUAGAUACCGUGGUAGUCCACACUGUAAACGUUGGGAACUAGUUGUGGGGUCCAUUCCACGGAUUCCGUGACGCAGCUAACGCAUUAAGUUCCCCGCCUGGGGAGUACGGCCGCAAGGCUAAAACUCAAAGGAAUUGACGGGGACCCGCACAAGCGGCGGAGCAUGCGGAUUAAUUCGAUGCAACGCGAAGAACCUUAUCAAGGCUUGACAUAUACGAGAACGGGCCAGAAAUGGUCAACUCUUGGGACACUCGUAAACAGUUGGUGCAUGGUUGUCGUCAGCUCGUGUCGUGAGAUGUUGGGUUAAGUCCCGCAACGAGCGCAACCCUCGUUCUAUGUUGCCAGCACGUAAUGGUGGGAACUCAUGGGAUACUGCCGGGGUCAACUCGGAGGAAGGUGGGGAUGACGUCAAAUCAUCAUGCCCCUUAUGUCUUGGCUCUCACGCAUGCUACAAUGGC